CAGGGGAUAAGUAGCAGAUCUGGCUGGGCCUGCUGAGCUGGGGAAUGACAACCUGUAUACGGAAACUUCUCAUCACACACUGAGAGGAAACAAUAAGGAUGUGUGGCUUACCUUGUCUUCACAACAUCGAGGGGAUGCAUCAAGCAGAUCUCAACCAGACCUAACAAGUAAAAGCAGACAUGAUGAGAAGAGCAGUGCCACUACACUUCCUGAUGCUACUCAAUGGUUUUGGAAUGUGGCCUGCAAAAACACCAGCAUGCAUUUCACAGAAUUUCAGAACUGUGAUUAUCAAUUUUACUAUUUAAAGUCAAAUAGUUGAGCAGCUCUUCGAGUUUCAUGUUAUGUGCUAUCUUUGCCAGAAUGUGGGUCUGAACAAAUGAUCCAGUAAAACUUUUUUCCAAAAUAUUUCUGAGUGACAUUAACUCUCAACAUUUUGAAGCCACCAACCAUGUCAUGUAUGCAAACCCAGAACAUCUGCGAAUGUGUCAGCAGCUGGAGAACCAAUGCAGUCAGAGGAUCAUUUAGAAACUUUGAGGUUUCACAUACAUGCUAACUGUGUGCAUCUGUGUUGAAAAGCCACUGCUCUGGCAUGGAGGCCUUUUGACUGAAUGUUUUUCUUUUCAACUCUCUUUUCUUUCUUUGAUUCUCACUGCAUCCCCUCACUGGUGCUCUGAUGGCUUCCCUUGCAGAUUCCACAGUGUGUGUACACAGCUGCUGUGCAAUAUGGGGUCUUUUCUAAUUUGCUCAAUUAAACAUAUUGUCU
Molecule: long non-coding RNA, 763 nt
Organism: Melanotaenia boesemani (Boeseman's rainbowfish)
Lineage: Eukaryota; Metazoa; Chordata; Actinopteri; Atheriniformes; Melanotaeniidae
Exons: 3
Source: RefSeq, a predicted model, not a curated record